ACCCAAGCAUAACCACAAGGUAACAAGCAGAUUGCCCAGUGCUUUCUUGUGCUGCUGUAUCUUGUAAUCAUUCCAAUGACAACCAAAGCUCCACUAGCCAAUUUUGGAUCAGUUUGACUUGAUAGUGAGUUUAAUUUUAACUCGUUGGUAGUCCUUGAGGUGGUAAAUGAUAGCAUCUUUUUAGGGUAGAAGAGCUGGUUUUAAUUUGUUACCUGUGUGUGUGGGUAGGAUGCGUUGUUUGUCUGUCCCCAAACGUUGAAGAAAAAUUGCAAGCUGUUUCUCCUUUGGGGCUUUGUCCAAGCCAGUGGCUAUCAGGCAGUGACUCACCAGUGUUGGUGCUGUAGGUGCGAACAGUGGUGUCGAUUGGAGGCGGUGAGCAGCCUGAGUCUAUGGAUGCUGUGUCAUCAUCUUGGGAACAGCCAGCCUGGAUGGCUCUCAGACAAGCACUGACCUGUCCCAAGCAGCUACGUCUGCCCAAGGUGCUGCAGGCCUGGCUGAAGUCAUCAUCAUCCCAGCGUGGCAAAGACGAGAUUGUACCCCCAAUACAGUCCAGGUUGUCCAGGCUGCGAUUAUUGGAGAGCUCUCUGAGAGACGGAAGACAGCUGGAAAGAGGAGUAAGAUGAGAGGAAAAACAAGAUAAAGGAGAUGUGUUAAGGGGAGGCAGAAGGGAACAUGGAUCGGGGAAGAAAAUGAACGAUCAGCAAAACCAGGAAUUGAAAGAGAGAUAAAAGGUGAAGACAUAUAAAGAUGCAGAGGAAGAUGACAGACAGAAAUCAGCAAGUAGGGAGAAACGUGGCAUCGAGCAGGAAGAGCGAGAGAGAUGACCCACUCAUUUUAGCCCAUCUCUGAAGACUGUGAUGCCAGAAAGGAAGUCAGCGAAAGACAGUGGCACCACUUCACUGCUUAUGAUGGCGAUGGAACUUUCCAUGACCUCAAAACAAUUUGUGUGUGUGUGUGAAGUGAGUACAUUAAACGGGUAUGGAGUGAUGUUGGUACCAUUUAACCAUUUUUUUUCUGGAUGAGAAAAGCCUAGUACGAAAAAACAGUGAUACAUUUAGGAGUCACCUGGAGAUCUCAAGAGUGUUUUA
Molecule: long non-coding RNA, 1088 nt
Organism: Perca flavescens (yellow perch)
Lineage: Eukaryota; Metazoa; Chordata; Actinopteri; Perciformes; Percidae
Exons: 6
Source: RefSeq, a predicted model, not a curated record